Molecule: ribosomal RNA, 253 nt
Filed under: uncultured bacterium
Lineage: Bacteria
Description: partial 16S ribosomal RNA
Rfam family: Bacterial small subunit ribosomal RNA
Source: RNAcentral
UACGGGGGGGGUAAGCGUUGUUCGGAAUUACUGGGCGUAAAGGGCUCGUAGGCGGCCACCUAAGUCAGACGUGAAAUCCCUCAGCUUAACUGGGGAACUGCGUCUGAUACUGGAUGGCUUGGAUUCGGGAGAGGAAUGCGGAAUUCCAGGUGUAGCGGUGAAAUGCGUAGAUAUCUGGAGGAACACCGGUGGCGAAGGCGGCAUUCUGGACCGACAUUGACGCUGAGGAGCGAAAGCCAGGGGAGCAAACGGG